AUCAUUUCUCUACCUUUUGGCUAAGAUCAAGUAUUUUUAUCAGUUUAAUAACUGGUUUAUCAGUUUAAUAACUCUAACUGAGGACAAUAUAUUAAGUAGAUUUACAGAGCUGGGAGAUGGAAUAGGAACUGUCUCCUUCCACUCACACAUCGACCUGUUAUUACAGUACCUCAAGGGCUAGACAUUUU
Octodon degus (degu) is the source of this 188-nucleotide small nuclear RNA. Its record names the gene U2. It matches the Rfam family "U2 spliceosomal RNA". Rfam says of the family: U2 is a small nuclear RNA (snRNA) component of the spliceosome (involved in pre-mRNA splicing). Complementary binding between U2 snRNA (in an area lying towards the 5' end but 3' to hairpin I) and the branchpoint sequence (BPS) of the intron results the bulging out of an unpaired adenosine, on the BPS, which initiates a nucleophilic attack at the intronic 5' splice site, thus starting the first of two transesterification reactions that mediate splicing. The record is from Ensembl. NCBI's taxonomy places the organism in Eukaryota, Metazoa, Chordata, Mammalia, Rodentia, Octodontidae.